RNAcentral lists this long non-coding RNA (1113 nucleotides) under Nicotiana benthamiana. RNAcentral's name for it is "long non-coding RNA (NBEN_LNC017406)". The record is from RNAcentral. Lineage: Eukaryota; Viridiplantae; Streptophyta; Magnoliopsida; Solanales; Solanaceae.
UCCAUGUGAUAUAUAAAUUACGAGUUCAAAAUAUGAAAUCAGUCAUUAAUAUUUCUAUCAAAAUAUACUGGCUAAAUUACACCUUUCAUGAUAUGGUAUUUCUCCAAAUCUUAUUUAAACUAAUGUUUCGUGCACUUUUUGACUAUUAUUUUAUUGAGAAUUACAGUAGCUGAUAAUGUGACAUGUGGCCCCAUUUGUCCAAACAUGAGGACAGCGUGACGGCGACAAUCUUCCAACUUCGCCGGCGAUUCUUCUCUCUUAUGUUAUCACUUGUUCAACUCAACUUUCUACCUGUCUUCUCAACGUGGCCAUGUCCUUCCCAGCUGUUUUCUCUUUCUGUUGGGCCCCACACGGUUUCUCACCCCCCUAUAUAAACCCCUUAAAUUUACUUCUCCUCCCUUCAUUCUGCCCUCAGUUAACUAAAUUAUCUCUCUGAUUAACAGUACUUUCUGAUUUUCUGUGAUUUCUACAAAUCUGAGACAUGGCAGCAUUGAAGACUAUGACGGUGUUUUUAGCUAUUGUGGCUGUAUUAUCGGCGGUUGCUUCUGCUCAAGAAGUGACCUCGGCUCCGGCACCAUCACCGGAUCAAGGCGGCGCGUUUUCACUAUCGGCUUUUGGGGCGAUUAUCUGCUCCUCACUGAUUUUGUCUGUUGUCACUCUACUCAGGAACUAGACGAUCGAUAGAUCCUUCCUCAUCGAUUUGAUGAUUAUUCAUUGAGUUGUUUUACCGUCCGGUAUUUAUGUAGAUAAUACACAUUGUAUAUUUAUGCAUUUUGGGUUUAUAUGUUUGAGUGUUUGUUUUGUAUUAGUAGGGAUUAUUGUACUUGUUUUUGUAUAAUUAUUGGUUUGACUAUAUAAUAAAGACAGUUUUUGUUUUGUAUUUAGAUGCAGUGUUUCCUAACAAGGUUAUGACUUGUGAGUAGGGCUGCGUAUCGACCAUUAUUUAUUUUUAACGAUUUAUCUUAUUGAUUAUGGACUUUUAAAUAUAUUAAUCUCUUACUCAUCCGAUAAGAUAUCGGAUGAAUUGAUAUCGGUUUAGCUCUUAUCGGACGAUUUAAAAUCUAUUUUUCUAGCAUUUCUUAGAUACAAAGUUAUUAAUACUUUUUUAUAAUC